UCUUGGCUUGUCCAUUAUUAUCUAUUUACUGUGAACUGUAUUAUUAUUUGACAUUUGAGGGAUGUUCCAAUGUUAUAAGGAUAGACAUUGGAAAUGUUAACCGAGUCAUAAUCAGGUUUAGGCCUGGUAUCCUAUUAUUAUUUACCAAAUGAAUUCAGAAUUAAUAUUGUAACAUAGACCUAAAAAAUCUAUAAAACAACUUUUAACAACGGAUCUCUUGGUUCUCGCAUCGAUGAAGAACGUAGCAAAGUGCGAUAACUAGUGUGAAUUGCAUAUUCAGUGAAUCAUCGAGUCUUUGAACGCAACUUGCGCUCAUUGGUAUUCCAAUGAGCACGCCUGUUUCAGUAUCAAAACAAACCCUCUAUCCAACUUUUGUUGUAUAGGAUUAUUGGGGGCCUCUCGAUCUGUAUAGAUCUUGAAAUCCCUGAAAUUUACUAAGGCCUGAACUUGUUUAAAUGCCUGAACUUUUUUUUAAUAUAAAGGAAAGCUCUUGUAAUUGACUUUGAUGGGGCCUCCCAAAUAAAUCUCUUUUAAAUUUGAUCUGAAAUCAGGCGGGAUUACCCGCUGAACUUAAGCAU
Molecule: ribosomal RNA, 578 nt
Filed under: Mucor sp. VG6H2
Lineage: Eukaryota; Fungi; Mucoromycota; Mucoromycetes; Mucorales; Mucoraceae
Description: eukaryotic LSU rRNA
Rfam family: 5.8S ribosomal RNA (bases 198-350)
Source: RNAcentral